RNAcentral lists this long non-coding RNA (477 nucleotides) under Bos taurus (domestic cattle). Its description in RNAcentral is "long non-coding RNA NONBTAT016893". The record is from RNAcentral. Lineage: Eukaryota; Metazoa; Chordata; Mammalia; Artiodactyla; Bovidae.
GUCAUUACUGAACCCCAUCUGGGCUGAGGGCUUGCCAAACAGCAGGCUAAAACCCACAAUUCCCGUUGCCGUGAAUAGAGAAUUCUGAGACUGGGCUUUCUGUAUCUCUGUAAAUUAAGCACCUGAGAACUCAGCACUGUUCAGGGAAAAAAGGGACACUCUCUGACAUCAGGGCGCAGGGGUCUGAGGGCUUAACUCCUCAACUCCUAGAAUCUUUUUUAUCACUACUCUUUAACUAUUCAAAGACCACCAUUCAGUCAACAUCAUCCUAAAACCAUUUCAUCUCUUGAGUUGCUGAGCUCUAAAUAGAAGGAGGUAUGGUGGUAACCUAGUUAAAGAGAACAGCAUAUGGGGGACAUGCUGCUUAUACUAACUUCAUUGUGGAGAUGAACUCUGAAAUCCAGUGUUUCUUCCUAACUGAACAGGUUCUUGUUCUAUUCUUUCAAGGCAGGAGCCUCUUAAGAGAUUUGCCCUGAA